AAAGAAUGCUUGAGAACAGGAAAGUCAUAUAUUUCUCAAGAUUUUGUCAAUUGUUGUUUAAUGCCACUGUUGGAGAAGUGGAUUUUGAUGCUGCAGAUGAGAUCAAGCCUUUUAAACUUCAUAAAAGGGCUUUUAAGGAUCUCAUAUCUAAAGAUGAGAAGAGACCAGUUCUCAGGCCUCUGCAAAUCCCAGCUCCAUUCAGAGCAAGGCUGAAUC
This 216-nucleotide long non-coding RNA is filed under the name Daucus carota (carrot). RNAcentral's name for it is "long non-coding RNA (DCAR_LNC007375)". The record is from RNAcentral. Lineage: Eukaryota; Viridiplantae; Streptophyta; Magnoliopsida; Apiales; Apiaceae.